RNAcentral lists this ribosomal RNA (253 nucleotides) under uncultured bacterium. Its description in RNAcentral is "partial 16S ribosomal RNA". It matches the Rfam family "Bacterial small subunit ribosomal RNA", at positions 524 to 776 of the family's 1533-position model. The record is from RNAcentral.
GACGAACCGUGCGAACGUUAUUCGGAAUCACUGGGCUUAAAGGGCGCGUAGGCGGGUUGCCAAGUCUGUGGUGAAAUCCUCCAGCUUAACUGGAGAACGGCCGUGGAUACUGGCGACCUCGAGGGGGGUAGGGGCUUGCGGAACUGUGCGUGGAGCGGUGAAAUGCGUUGAUAUGCACAGGAACUCCGGUGGCGAAGGCGGCGAGCUGGACCCUUUCUGACGCUGAGGAGCGAAAGCGUGGGGAGCGAACAGG